RNAcentral lists this ribosomal RNA (253 nucleotides) under uncultured bacterium. Its description in RNAcentral is "partial 16S ribosomal RNA". It matches the Rfam family "Bacterial small subunit ribosomal RNA", at positions 524 to 776 of the family's 1533-position model. The record is from RNAcentral.
GACAGAGGGUGCAAACGUUGUUCGGAUUUACUGGGCGUAAAGGGCUCGUAGGUGGCCAACUAAGUCAGACGUGAAAUCCCUCGGCUUAACCGGGGAACUGCGUCUGAUACUGGAUGGCUUGAGUUCGGGAGAGGGAUGCGGAAUUCCAGGUGUAGCGGUGAAAUGCGUAGAUAUCUGGAGGAACACCGGUGGCGAAGGCGGCAUCCUGGACCGACACUGACACUGAGGAGCGAAAGCCAGGGGAGCAAACGGG